GUCUAACUGACGAGCCUCAAAUAGGACGAAACAUGCGUCUUAGAU
RNAcentral lists this non-coding RNA (45 nucleotides) under Schistosoma mansoni. The record is from RNAcentral. Lineage: Eukaryota; Metazoa; Platyhelminthes; Trematoda; Strigeidida; Schistosomatidae.